Molecule: ribosomal RNA, 796 nt
Filed under: uncultured bacterium
Lineage: Bacteria
Description: bacterial SSU rRNA
Rfam family: Bacterial small subunit ribosomal RNA
Source: RNAcentral
AGUGGCGCACGGGUGAGUAACACGUAACUGAUCUGCCCUGUAGACUGGGAUAACCUUUGGAAACAGAGGCUAAUACCGGAUAGAAUCGGUUGAGUUAGGAUAGGCCGAUGAAAAGCGUUAGUGCUAUAGGAUGAGGUUGCGGGCCAUCAGCUAGUUGGUGAGGUAAAGGCUUACCAAGGCGAUGACGGCUAGGGGACCUGAGAGGGUGGCCCCCCACACUGGGACUGAGACACGGCCCAGACUCCUACGGGAGGCAGCAGUAAGGGAUAUUGCACAAUGGACGGAAGUCUGAUGCAGCGACGCCGCGUGGGCGAAGAAGGUUUUCGGAUCGUAAAGUCCUUUUCUAUGUGACGAGAGAGGACGGUAGCAUAGGAAUAAGUGUCGGCUAACUACGUGCCAGCAGCCGCGGUAAAACGUAGGACACGAACGUUAUCCGGAGUUACUGGGCGUAAAGCGCGCGUAGGCGGUAUGUUAAGUUACCUAUGAAAGUUAUCGGCUAAACUGGUAAUGGUUAGGUGAAACUGGCGUACUAGGGUGAAAUAGAGGGAAGUAGAAUUCCGGGUGUAGUGGUGAAAUGCGUAGAUAUCCGGAGGAAUACCGGUGGCGAAGGCGGCUUCCUGGAUUUCGACCGACGCUGAGGCGCGAAAGCGUGGGUAGCGAACGGGAUUAGAAACCCCGGUAGUCCACGCCGUAAACGAUGUACAUUAGGCGUUCGGCUACGAUGGUAGUUGAGUGUUGCAGCAAACGCGAUAAAUGUACCGCCUGGGGAGUACGGUCGCAAGGCUAAAACUCAAAU